This 67-nucleotide transfer RNA is filed under the name Gonatocerus sp. ZCS-2018. RNAcentral's name for it is "tRNA-Gln". The record is from RNAcentral. Lineage: Eukaryota; Metazoa; Arthropoda; Insecta; Hymenoptera; Mymaridae.
AUAUAUAAGUGUAUUAAGCACAAAAAUUUUUGAAAUUUUUAGAAAUAAUUUAUUUUAUUAUAUAUAU